GUGCUCACUUCGGCAGCACAUACACUAGCACUGGAACCAUACAGAGAAGAUGUGCAGGGCCCAGGCACAAAGAUGACACCCAGAUUCGUGAAGCGGUCCAUAUUUAA
This is a small nuclear RNA of Onychomys torridus (southern grasshopper mouse), 107 nucleotides long. NCBI's taxonomy places the organism in Eukaryota, Metazoa, Chordata, Mammalia, Rodentia, Cricetidae. The record is from RefSeq and is a predicted model, not a curated record.